Molecule: ribosomal RNA, 301 nt
Filed under: uncultured bacterium
Lineage: Bacteria
Description: partial 16S ribosomal RNA
Rfam family: Bacterial small subunit ribosomal RNA
Source: RNAcentral
CAGUAGCCGCGGUAAUACGAAGGGUGCAAGCGUUAAUCGGAAUUACUGGGCGUAAAGCGUGCGUAGGCGGUGAGUUAAGUCUGCUGUGAAAUCCCCGAGCUUAACUUGGGAACUGCAUUUGAAACUGGCAAGCUAGAGUCUUGUAGAGGGGGGUAGAAUUCCAGGUGUAGCGGUGAAAUGCGUAGAGAUCUGGAGGAAUACCGGUGGCGAAGGCGGCCCCCUGGACAAAGACUGACGCUCAGGUGCGAAAGCGUGGGGAGCAAACAGGAUUAGAUACCCCAGUAGUCCCUGUCUCUUAUAC